UACGUAGGGGGGCAAGCGUUGUCCGGAUUUAUUGGGCGUAAAGAGCGUGUAGGCGGCCACAUAGGUCAGCUGUGAAAACUCGAGGCUCAACCUCGAGACGUCGGUUGAAACCGUAUGGCUAGAGUCCGGAAGAGGAGAGUGGAAUUCCCGGUGUAGCGGUGAAAUGCGCAGAUAUCGGGAAGAACACCCGUGGCGAAGGCGGCUCUCUGGACCGAGACUGACGCUGAGGCGCGAAAAGCGUGGGGAGCAAACAGG
Molecule: ribosomal RNA, 255 nt
Filed under: uncultured bacterium
Lineage: Bacteria
Description: partial 16S ribosomal RNA
Rfam family: Bacterial small subunit ribosomal RNA
Source: RNAcentral